Molecule: long non-coding RNA, 211 nt
Filed under: Setaria italica (foxtail millet)
Lineage: Eukaryota; Viridiplantae; Streptophyta; Magnoliopsida; Poales; Poaceae
Description: long non-coding RNA (SITA_LNC002331)
Source: RNAcentral
AGCCAACAAGUUGUGAUAACUCGAAGAGACUUGAUGGAAUCAAGUUGAAGGCAAAGCGCUGGGGCUCGAGUGGCUGUGAAUAGAUGAUAAGUUGUGAUAACUCGAAGAGACUUGAUGGAAUCAAGUCAAAGGUGGAGCGCUGGGGCUCGCGGAGCUGAAGAGCUCGAGUGGUUGUGAAUAGCCGAGCGGAGGCAAAGAUAGGUAGUGUUUG